CGAGUGUAGCGGUGAAAUGCGUAGAUAUUCGGAGGANCACCAAUUGCGAAGGCAGCUCACUGGGCCGCUAUCGACGCUGAGGAGCGAAAGCUAGGGGAGCAAACAGGAUUAGAUACCCUGGUAGUCCUAGCUGUAAACGAUGGAUACUAGACGUAGGAACUGGAUUGACGGUUUCUGUGUCGUAGCUAACGCGUUAAGUAUCCCGCCUGGGGAGUACGGUCGCAAGACUAAAACUCAAAGGAAUUGACGGGACCCCGCACAAGCGGCGGAGCAUGCGGCUUAAUUCGAUGAUACCCGUAGAACCUUACCUGGACUUGACAUAUAGGGUCUAGCUAUAGAGAUAUAGUGUGCAUUAGCGCCCUAUACAGGUGGUGCAUGGCUGCCGUCAGCUCGUGUCGUGAGAUGUUGGGUUAAGUCCCGCAACGAGCGCAACCCCUGUCCUAUGUUGCCAGCAUUUAGUUGGGGACUCAUAGGAGACUGCCGGUGAUAAACCGGAGGAAGGUGGGGACGACGUCAAGUCAUCAUGCCCCUUAUGUCCAGGGCUGCACGCAUGCUACAAUGGCAAGUACAACGAGUCGCAAUACCGCGAGGUGGAGCAAAUCUCUUAAAGCUUGUCUCAGUUCGGAUAGGAGUCUGCAACUCGACUCCUUGAAGUUGGAGUCGCUAGUAAUCGCAAAUCAGCAAAGUUGCGGUGAAUACGUUCUCGGGGUUUGUACACACCGCCCGUCAAGUCACGGAAGUCGGCAAUACCCGAAGCCAGUGGUCCAACCCUUUUAGGGAGGAAGCUGUCGAAGGUAGGGUCGGUAACUGGGACUAAGUCGUAACAAGGUAACC
This 834-nucleotide ribosomal RNA is filed under the name uncultured marine microorganism. RNAcentral describes it as "bacterial SSU rRNA". It matches the Rfam family "Bacterial small subunit ribosomal RNA", at positions 670 to 1501 of the family's 1533-position model. The record is from RNAcentral.